RNAcentral lists this ribosomal RNA (447 nucleotides) under uncultured bacterium. RNAcentral describes it as "bacterial SSU rRNA". It matches the Rfam family "Bacterial small subunit ribosomal RNA", at positions 328 to 792 of the family's 1533-position model. The record is from RNAcentral.
UUCCCAGACUCCUACGGGAGGCAGCAGUGGGGGAUAUUGCACAAUGGGGGAAACCCUGAUGCAGCGACGCCGCGUGGGUGAAGAAGCGCCUCGGCGCGUAAAGCCCUGUCAGCAGGGAAGAAAAUGACGGUACCUGAAGAAGAAGCCCCGGCUAACUACGUGCCAGCAGCCGCGGUAAUACGUAGGGGGCGAGCGUUGUCCGGAAUUACUGGGCGUAAAGAGAGCGUAGGCGGCACUACAGGUCUCAUGUGAAAUACCCGGGCUUAACUUGGGGGUUGCAUGGGAAACUGUAGAGCUUGAGUACAGGAGAGGCAAGCGGAAUUCCUAGUGUAGCGGUGAAAUGCAUAGAUAUUAGGAGGAACACCAGUGGCGAAGGCGGCUUGCUGGACUGAAACUGACGCUGAGGCUCGAAAGCGUGGGGAGCAAACAGGAUUAGAUACCCGCGUA